Molecule: ribosomal RNA, 387 nt
Filed under: uncultured Bacillus sp.
Lineage: Bacteria; Bacillati; Bacillota; Bacilli; Caryophanales; Bacillaceae
Description: bacterial SSU rRNA
Rfam family: Bacterial small subunit ribosomal RNA
Source: RNAcentral
GAGUUUGAUCGUGGCUCAGAUUGAACGCUGGCGGCGUGGAUUAGGCAUGCAAGUCGAGCGAGAACCCAGCAAUGGGGGACAGCGGCGAAAGGGACAGUAAUGUGUAGAUCAUCUGCCCUCAGGCCCGGGAUAGCUGCGGGAAACUGCAGGUAAUACCGGAUAACAUCUCCGGAUCAAAGGUGUGAUUCCGCCUGAGGAUGAGUCUACAUCCUAUUAGCUAGUUGGUAGGGUAACGGCCUACCAAGGCUUUGAUGGGUAGCGGGUGUGAGAGCACGACCCGCGUCAUUGGGACUGAGACACUGCCCAGACACCUACGGGUGGCUGCAGUCGAGAAUCUUCGGCAAUGGGCGCAAGCCUGACCGAGCGACGCCGCGUGCGGGAUGAAGG